AUAACGCCGGAAACGGUGGCUAAUACUGGAUAGGUGCCAAGGCCGCAUGGUCUUUGGUUGGAAAGAUUUUUCGGUUCUGGAUCGGCUCGCGGCCUAUCAGCUUGUUGGUGGGGUAAUGGCCUACCAAGGCGUCGACGGGUAGCCGGCCUGAGAGGGUGUACGGCCACAUUGGGACUGAGAUACGGCCCAG
Molecule: ribosomal RNA, 190 nt
Filed under: uncultured Actinomycetales bacterium
Lineage: Bacteria; Bacillati; Actinomycetota; Actinomycetes; Actinomycetales
Description: partial 16S ribosomal RNA
Rfam family: Bacterial small subunit ribosomal RNA
Source: RNAcentral